UCGGGUAUGGUGUAGCGGUAACAUCGUUGACUCUCACUUCUCAGAAGUGAAUGAUCUCAACAGCCCCGGGUUCGACUCCCGGUAUCCGAG
RNAcentral lists this transfer RNA (90 nucleotides) under Thermochaetoides thermophila DSM 1495. RNAcentral's name for it is "Chaetomium thermophilum var. thermophilum DSM 1495 tRNA". It matches the Rfam family "tRNA". From Rfam's summary of the family: Transfer RNA (tRNA) molecules are approximately 80 nucleotides in length. Their secondary structure includes four short double-helical elements and three loops (D, anti-codon, and T loops). Lineage: Eukaryota; Fungi; Ascomycota; Sordariomycetes; Sordariales; Chaetomiaceae. The record is from Rfam by way of RNAcentral.